Ostrea edulis (European flat oyster) is the source of this 350-nucleotide long non-coding RNA. RefSeq lists it as uncharacterized. Lineage: Eukaryota; Metazoa; Mollusca; Bivalvia; Ostreida; Ostreidae. The transcript is spliced from 2 exons. The record is from RefSeq and is a predicted model, not a curated record.
CCUGUAUGGAUAUAUACAUUCCACACUUAGAUGUACUAACAAAUAAACAAAUGUGUUAAAGCAGUAUGCAGUGACAGAAUGGACUACCAUAUUCUUGAAGUACAACUUACCAUUCCAGUGCCCUGCAUUGGAAAAUUGGUUGUAAAUCCCAUGUUCUGUGGCAUCCCAGGCGUCAUCAUCAUGGACUGAAAGCAUUUAGUAUACCUUUACAAUACAGGACUGAUGAAAUAUCCCAAAUAGAUAUUCUCAAAUAGACUAAAUGUUUGCAAAUAUUCUUUGAAAUUGAAAACAUAUAUGAACUACAAAACAGAAGUCAGAAGAGGUCCUGGAAUAAAUCUGAAAAUUGAAAG